RNAcentral lists this ribosomal RNA (249 nucleotides) under uncultured Coxiellaceae bacterium. Its description in RNAcentral is "partial 16S ribosomal RNA". It matches the Rfam family "Bacterial small subunit ribosomal RNA", at positions 355 to 596 of the family's 1533-position model. Lineage: Bacteria; Pseudomonadati; Pseudomonadota; Gammaproteobacteria; Legionellales; Coxiellaceae. The record is from RNAcentral.
UGGGGAAUAUUGGACAAUGGGGGCAACCCUGAUCCAGCAAUGCCGCGUGUGUGAAGAAGGCCUUCGGGUUGUAAAGCACUUUAGUUGGGGAGGAAGAUAUGGAGUUUAAGAGACACCAUAUUUGACUGUACCCAAGGAAUAAGCACCGGCUAACUCUGUGCCAGCAGCCGCGGUAAUACAGAGGGUGCGAGCGUUAAUCGGAAUUACUGGGCGUAAAGGGCGCGUAGGCGGUUAGAUAAGUUGGUUGUG